CAUUGCGUCUCUUGCUUGGAAGCGGCUCUCUGGACCGCCUGACUCUAGGUUUUCAAUUAGUUUGUUACCAGAGCUCCAAGUCUGCUGAGCCGGUCGUUAACCUGCCUUGUCCGACGGAAAGGGACCGGCCGUCCCCAGGUGAAUGCCACGAGGGCAAGGCACCCCAGGCCACUGUGCUCUCUGCCCUGUAAAUAGACUCAACACCCAAUAGCCCCUGGAGUGAGUGGGACGCAGAGAACUGGACUAGUGAUGGCAACAGAAAAGAAAAGCAGAUGCAUUGACUUCUGGACUCCUGGGUCAACGGGAAAACACAGACUCUGCUUUCUGACCCGCAGCAGGACCUGGAGCCCUGACACAGCACUCGGGAACCACAGAAGGUGCCUGCGACCUCCGUGUCCCACCAGGCUGAUGGUCAUUGUGGGGGGCAUUGGCUGCAUGGUGCUCAAGACCACUAUGCACCGUCUGGUGAUGAACCUGGGAAUUCGCAAGGAAGCUUCCAAGUCACCGGAUCCAACUCUUUGCUUUACAGAUCAGAAAAUGAAGCUUCAGAGAGGAGACGAGUUUUUCUAAAGGUCACGCUACCAGGGAGAUUGGCACCACUACAAAUUAUGGCUGUCAAACCCAGCUGGGCUCCGAGAGCCACCCAGCGAUCCUUCCAUUUGUCUUAAAUCAUCUCUCUUUUCUAAUUCCCUUAAAGACAUCCAAAUUUCCACUCUACUUCCUGACUAUUUGUAGAAGCUGCUCUUCUUCAGUACAGUCACAUAGGCCAUUUACCAAAUGUCCCAGCACCCCAUUUUUCUGGGUUACCUGUAUCCCAGCUCCUGGAAGUUACCGUUAUGGCGACUUGUGUUGGCCAAUAGCUUUAAAACAGGUGCAGAAUCUGGGUCCUCCCUGGUGGCACAGCGGGUUCAAGUACAGCACAUUGAAGCUAACGGCACUGCAGUGCUAGUUUGCUCCCCACUUUGGAGGUGACCCACAGGGCGCAGCAGACCUCUCC
Molecule: long non-coding RNA, 997 nt
Organism: Condylura cristata (star-nosed mole)
Lineage: Eukaryota; Metazoa; Chordata; Mammalia; Eulipotyphla; Talpidae
Exons: 3
Source: RefSeq, a predicted model, not a curated record